UGAAGGUUUAGGGGUUUAGGGUUUACAGUUUACUUUUAGGGUUUAGAGUUUACAGUUUACUUUUAGGGUUUAGGGUUUAGAGUUUAGGGUUUAGGGUUUAGGGUUUUGAUUUUUAAGGUUUUGAUUUGAAGGUUUAGGGUCUAGGAUUCAAAUUUCAGAAAAAUAUAGGGUUUAGAGUUUACGUUUAGGGUUUUGAGCUGAUGUUGUAGGGUUUAGAUAUGAAGGUUAAGGGUUUAGAGUUUAGAGUUGAAGUUUCGCGGUUUAGGGUUUAGAGUUGAUGUUUCAUGGUUUAGGGUUUAGAGUUGAUGAUUUAGGGUUUAAAGUUGAUGUUUUAAGUUUAGAUUUAGGGUUUAGGGUUUACUUUGAAGGUUUCAUUUAGAGUUGAUGAUUUAGGGUUUAAAGUUGAUGUUUUAAGUUAGAUUUAUAUAAAAGUAUUAAUUUCCUAAACCAUUAGAUGAUCAGCGCACUGUCUGUACGGUGAUGCUGGAUCUGCUUUACAAUCAAAAAAAUCUGAAUCGCACUGCAGUGUAUAAAUAUUCAAUAGACAUCAUGAUUGAGUUCUUCUGAAUCGUGGAUCCUACACAGACUAAUCAAACAAUGAAUGGGAAGCGUCUGAAAUCAUCAGAAAAGGAAAAAAGGAGAAAGGAAAAAUGAACUAAAGCGGAAAAAAUUACACUGGAUUUGGAUGCGGAGGAGAGAGAGAGAUAAGAAGCAUAGAAAACUUGAAACAAAUCUGCAACUCGAUACAAUCUCUUCAAUUUAUAAACUUCUGAACAGUUACAACUGUCAAGGGAAAAUGAUGACGGUUCCACAGAAGAUCUAGAAGAUCUGAGUGCGAAAAGAUACAACCUUUAAGGAAAAAACAGAUGAUCUGUUUAAGAGACGCCUGUGAGGAGGUAUGAUGAAGCCGUCGAUUGCUAUAGUAAAUCUAGUACGUCAUUCUUUUGUUCCUAACCAAAACCUUAACCAUUAAAUUAUAUCACAUACACGAUUCUCACCAUUAGAUUUUGAUUUUUUCCUAUAAUAAAAUGAUGAUGUCAUCAGUUAGAUAAAAAAAGAUUUGCUAUUAUAUAUAGAUAAUAAAUAUAUACUAUUUCGAAAUUCAAACCCUAAACCCUAAAACUCAAUUCUAAACCCUAAACCAUCAAUCAUAAACCAUAUUUUAUUUUGAUAUAUGAACCCUAAACCCUAAACCAUCAAUCUUAAACCCUUUUAUUUUUUGAAAUACAAACCCUAAAUCCUGAAACAUCAAUUCUAAACUCUAAACCCCGAAACAUCAACUCUAAACCCUAAACCCUAAACCUUCAGCACUAAACCCUAAAACAUCAACUCUAAACUUUAAACCCUAAAAUUCAGCUCUAAACCCUAAACCAUCAACACUAAACCCUAAAUUUUCAACACUAAACCCUAAACCCUAAAAAGUAAACUCUAAACCCUAAAAUGAAAACUCUAAACCCUAAACCCUAAAAAAAUGACCCUAAACCCUAAAACAUCAACUCUAAACCCUAAACCUUCAACUUAAAAUCUAAACCCUAAACCCUAAACCCUAAAACCGUAGAGUUGAUGUUUUAGGGUUUAGAUUUGAAGGUUUAGGGGUUUAGGGUUUACAAUUUACAUUUAGGGUUUAGAGUUGAUUUUUAAGGUUUAAAUUUGAAGGUUUAGGGUCUAGGAUUCAAAUUUCAGAAAAUAUAGGUUUAGAGUUUACGUUUAGGGUUUUGAGCUGAUGUUGUAGGGUUUAGAUAUGAAGGUUUAGGGUUUAGAGUUUAGAGUUGAAGUUUCGCGGUUUAGGGUUUAGAGUUGAUGUUUCAUGGCUUACGGUUUAGAGUUGAUGAUUUAGGGUUUAAAGUUGAUGUUUUAAGUUU
This 1862-nucleotide long non-coding RNA is filed under the name Brassica napus (rape). RNAcentral describes it as "long non-coding RNA (BNAP_LNC021844)". Lineage: Eukaryota; Viridiplantae; Streptophyta; Magnoliopsida; Brassicales; Brassicaceae. The record is from RNAcentral.